CACAGACACACUCCUAGCAUUACAGUAACACACACAGAUCCACUCAUAGCAUUACAGUUAUUGUAUGCAGGGUGUAGUGUGUGAGGUAUAUUGUAUGCAGGGUGUAGUGUAUGUGUGAGUGAGGUAUAGUGUAUGCAGGGCGUGGUGUGUGUGAGGUAUAUUGUAUGCAGGGUGUAGUGUAUGUGUGAGUGAGAUAUAGUGUAUGCAGGGUGUAGUGUAUG
Non-coding RNA from Pelobates cultripes (western spadefoot toad), 221 nucleotides. NCBI's taxonomy places the organism in Eukaryota, Metazoa, Chordata, Amphibia, Anura, Pelobatidae. The record is from the annotation of a GenBank genome assembly.